UUUUAUGUGCGGGUCUGUUGCCGAUACAUUCGCGAACCACCCCACCACCCCCCCUAGGUUUGGGAUCCGGUGGGAUAUUUUGUUCUCAUCGCGACCGUUAUAUCCCUACCAAACAAAACUCUUGAAGAAAUACAUGUACGCACGACGACGUUUUGAACACGACCAACGAUGAAAUCGCGAACAGGCCAGAAUCUACUCGGAAAAACGGAAAACCCGGUUAGUUUUUUCGCGUCGAUCGGGCCGAGAAAUUCAAAAAUGCCGUCUUUAAUAUCAUUCGACAUUUUCGUACCUAGCCGUCUGUAAUAUUUCCGUUUCGCGGAUCGGAAUCCAUAGAAUCGAACGGGCCCGCGAAAAUCCUAUAAAACUGCAACGUCAUUUUCCCGCGUGUCGACUGUCCGAAAUAAAUUCGCCGGCGAUCAACCCUCUCUCCC
Cinara cedri is the source of this 431-nucleotide non-coding RNA. The record is from the annotation of a GenBank genome assembly. Lineage: Eukaryota; Metazoa; Arthropoda; Insecta; Hemiptera; Aphididae.